AAAUUGAAGAGUUUGAUCAUGGCUCAGAUUGAACGCUGGCGGCAGGCCUAACACAUGCAAGUCGAGCGGAAACGAGUUAACUGAACCUUCGGGGGACGUUAACGGCGUCGAGCGGCGGACGGGUGAGUAAUGCCUGGGAAAUUGCCCUGAUGUGGGGGAUAACCAUUGGAAACGAUGGCUAAUACCGCAUAAUAGCUUCGGCUU
Molecule: ribosomal RNA, 204 nt
Filed under: Vibrio sp. T11.5
Lineage: Bacteria; Pseudomonadati; Pseudomonadota; Gammaproteobacteria; Vibrionales; Vibrionaceae
Description: partial 16S ribosomal RNA
Rfam family: Bacterial small subunit ribosomal RNA
Source: RNAcentral